GUCGACCGUAAGAAAGAAAAGGAAAAGAAAAGGUAAAGCAAAGCGCUAAGGAUGGCUACAGUUCGUCGAGACAAAAGCUUUUUGUCUCAAGUCUACCUAGCCGCGUGUCAGAAGUAAGAAACGAAAAUCUUUCGGAGGUUUUCGCACUCUUUCGUUAGUAAAUAAUGCAUACAAGAAUUAAUAUUGGAAUGACAAUUUAUUACGUUAGAGGGAAGAAACGUAUUUUUAAGAGAAACCGUCGUUAACCAGGCUUUUUGGAGAGAAUGUAUUGUCUGAUAUACUACGCAACGGCCAAUUAAAAUACAUUAUUGUCCUAACGAGCCGAAUGAGAUGCAUAAGUUACGCAUGCUCAAUUGAUAAUGACGUUUUACGCCUGUGUGCGAACGGCGGUUCUCUCGCCUCUAAUACAGGAAAAACGUUAUACUUGCAAUAUUUUAUCACGCGCUAAGACAAACUCGAUCCUCAUUAUCAGUAUUUAUUUCUCACCACGUUGUUAUGUUAUGAAAUAUCGAGAAGACCGAGAAGAAGCAUAAUUUUUGAAGAGUUUUAAUAAACAAAUCAAUUACAUGAGAUUUACAAUUCUGUAAAUUUUCAUAUCAACGAUGCUAUCGUUGAGAAUUUAUCUAAACAAGCCAACUGCUCUCUCAUGCAGGAAUGGAUAUUUGAGUCUUCCAGAAACUUAAAGUUAAUAAUUGACGAUUAAGAAACUGAAACUAAGGUCUAGCCGAAAAUAUUAAACUCGCAAAUGAUUCACACACAGCAUAACAAGAAAUCCUGAUUCAACUCUCGUCAAAACUUUCGCAAGGAGCAUAAGGAAAAAAAGAGAGAAAGCAAAAUUAUUUCUUCGUGAUAAAUCUAAUUGAGGAAAA
Molecule: long non-coding RNA, 869 nt
Organism: Formica exsecta
Lineage: Eukaryota; Metazoa; Arthropoda; Insecta; Hymenoptera; Formicidae
Exons: 4
Source: RefSeq, a predicted model, not a curated record